CACAUGCAAGUCGAGCGAGAAAGCACUUCGGUGUGAGUAGAGCGGCGGACGGGUGAGUAAAGCGUAGGAAUUUGCCCAGUAGUGGGGGACAACAUGUGGAAACGCAUGCUAAUACCGCAUACGCCCUAAGGGGGAAAGCAGGGGAUCUUCGGACCUUGCGCUAUUGGAGAAGAACCAGCGUCGGAUUAGCUAGUUGGUGGGGUAAAGGCCCACCAAGGCGACGAUCCGUAGCUGGUCUGAGAGGAUGAUCAGCCACACUGGGACUGAGACACGGCCCAGACUCCUACGGGAGGCAGCGGUGGGGAAUAUUGGACAAUGGGCGAAAGCCUGAUCCAGCCAUGCCGCGUGUGUGAAGAAGGCCUUAGGGUUGUAAAGCACUUUCAGUAGGGAGGAAAAGUUAGUCGUUAAUAACGGCUAACCCUGACGUUACCUACAGAAGAAGCACCGGCAAACUCCGUGCCAGCAGCCGCGGUAAUACGGAGGGUGCGAGCGUUAAUCGGAAUUACUGGGCGUAAAGCGCGCGUAGGCGGUUAGAUAAGUCAGAUGUGAAAGCCCCGGGCUCAACCUGGGAACUGCAUCUGAUACUGUUUAACUAGAGUUUGGUAGAGGAGUGUGGAAUUUCAGGUGUAGCGGUGAAAUGCGUAGAGAUCUGAAGGAACAUCAGUGGCGAAGGCGACUCACUGGGCCAUUACUGACGCUGAGGUGCGAAAGCGUGGGUAGCAAACAGGAUUAGAUACCCUGGUAGUCCACGCCGUAAACGAUGUCAAUUAGCCGUUGGAGGGGUUUAUCCCUUGUGUAUCGAAGCUAACGCGAUAAGUUGACCGCCUGGGGAGUACGGUCGCAAGACUAAAACUCAAAUGAAUUGACGGGGGCCCGCACAAGCGGUGGAGCAUGUGGUUUAAUUCGAUGCAACGCGAAGAACCUUACCAGGUCUUGACAUCCAGAGAAUCCUGCAGAGAUGCGGGAGUGCCUUCGGGAAUUCUGAGACAGGUGCUGCAUGGCUGUUCUCAGCUCGUGUCGUGAGAUGUUGGGUUAAGUCCCGUAACGAGCGCAACCCUUAUCCUUAUUUGCCAUCAUUUAGUUGGGGACUAUAAGGAGACUGCCGGUGACAAACCGGAGGAAGGUGGGGACGACGUCAAGUCAUCAUGGCCCUUAUGGGUAGGGCUACACACGUUCUACAAUGGGCAGUACAGAGGGUUGCGAUACCGCGAGGUGGAGCUAAUCUCAGAAAACUGUUCGUAGUCCGGAUCGCAGUCUGCAACUCGACUCCGUGAAGUCGGAAUCGCUAGUAAUCGCGGAUCAGAAUGCCGCGGUGAAUACGUUCCCGGGCAUUGUACACACCGCCCGUCCCACCAUGGGAGUGGGUUGCAAAAGAAGUGGCUAGCUUAUCCUUCGGGAUGG
RNAcentral lists this ribosomal RNA (1401 nucleotides) under uncultured prokaryote. RNAcentral describes it as "partial 16S ribosomal RNA". It matches the Rfam family "Bacterial small subunit ribosomal RNA". The record is from RNAcentral.